RNAcentral lists this ribosomal RNA (440 nucleotides) under uncultured bacterium. RNAcentral describes it as "partial 16S ribosomal RNA". It matches the Rfam family "Bacterial small subunit ribosomal RNA", at positions 338 to 795 of the family's 1533-position model. The record is from RNAcentral.
CCUACGGGUGACAGCUGUGGGGGAUAUUGCACAAUGGGGGAAACCCUGAUGCAGCGACGCCGCGUGGGUGAAGAAGCGCCUCGGCGCGUACAGCCCUGUCAGCAGGGAAGAAAAUGACGGUACCUGAAGAAGAAGCCCCGGCUAACUACGUGCCAGCAGCCGCGGUAAUACGUCGGGGGCAAGCGUUCUCCGGAUUUACUGGGUGUAAAGGGGGCGCAGACGGCGAUGCAAGCCAGGAGUGAAAGCCCGGGGCCCAACCCCGGGACUGCUCUUGGAACUGCGUGGCGAGAGUGCAGGAGGGGCAGGCGGAAUUCCUGGUGUAGCGGUGAAAUGCGUAGAUAUCAGGAGGAACACCGGUGGCGAAGGCGGCCUGCUGGACUGCAACUGACGUUGAGGCCCGAAAGCGUGGGGAGCAAACAGGAUUAGAUACCCUUGUAGUC